Long non-coding RNA from Sardina pilchardus (European sardine), 402 nucleotides. RefSeq lists it as uncharacterized. Lineage: Eukaryota; Metazoa; Chordata; Actinopteri; Clupeiformes; Clupeidae. The record is from RefSeq and is a predicted model, not a curated record. The transcript is spliced from 5 exons.
CUUUUCUGUCAUGAAGCUUGCUGUAUGUAAGCUGUACAAACUCUGCCGUCAUCAUCAUAUUCAAGGCGGUGUGGUAAUUGUGUGGAGGACUGCUGCCCUGAGACCCUGAGAGGAAUAUUGUCACUUCCAAAGCCCAUUACAAGCCUGCAAUGGGCUCUAUGAACUGUCCAGAGCAAAGUCAGUCUGUCCUGAUGGCACUACCUGCUACUAUGGCUGCUGCUCUCAACCUGGUGGGGCAAGUCUUAAGAGUUGCAGACGGGGGAGCAAAGGGAGUUCCUGGACCCUUAAAGGGUUAAGGCCAUAAUGGGCCACCCAGAAGAGAUUCAGGCUCUCCCUCAAGAUUGCUGGGCCAUGCAAUUAAUGCCAAACUUACAGAACUGUGAUGUCAGUACAGAAACAAAA